AGAAAGGGUCCCGAAGGCCACCUUGCAGCCACCCCUCGCGGCUAUAAAAGGAGACGCUGGGCUCAAGAAGAGAACACAAGAGACGGGAGAGCACGGAGCACUCAAAGCAUCGAGACUCUCCACCAGAGCACCACUUCCUUCGUAGUCUACCCACCACCACUACUAGUAGAAUAGCCAAAAAGGCGCUUAGUUCGCCAAGAGUUUGAAGACGUCCACUUUGCGCCCUGGCUAUCGACUUAUUUCUUCAUUAAGGUGUUGAUCCGCUGUAAUGAUUAGUUACUCUGAAGAUUGAGAGUUUUAUUUCUUCAUGCAUCAUCGAGGUAAGACAAAGACCAGAAUCUCCAUAGACUGAAAAUCAUUCCUUGCACGGUGAAAUAAUGCUUAGAGAUUGAAAGAUUUUAUUUGUAAUUAUGUCUGUUCUGUGGAGACACAAGUAUUUAUUGGUCCAUCUGACAAGAUAGAAUUAGUAGUUAUCUAUGUAUAUCCCCUUUAUUAGACUGGCAUCAAAAGUAAUGACAAGGAGUUGAUAUGUUGUUGAAAAAAGAAAACAAUACAACAUACCACAUUGAUAUAUUUGCUGCAUGUAUCAAACAGUAGGGUAUGUGUCAUUGUAGUUUCUUAAUGGUGGAAGACUGAAGCUUCUAUCCCAUACCAUUCAACGUGUAUUUCUUCAAGUGAAUUUCUUUCUAUCUCCCAUGGACUCAUGGUGCACCUAUCAGUUGGAAAAACUGAUCAUUACAUAUAGAGAACUAAAGGAGUGGACGACAUAUAAUAUUUAAGAGAGGCAGUGAUGCUACAUUGAAAGCUUAGGUUAUUUGUUUACUUUUUGCUAAGAAAUAAGUAUAAAUAAUUAUCUAUACAUGAAAACUUGGAAAUACAUAAAUUGUACUCUUGGCACCAAAAUUGCUUAUUUAUGUAGGAGAAGAAAAAGAUUCACGGUUCCUGUCCUCUCCACCGCUUCUAUUGCAGAUGAAACUUUGAUCUUUCCCUUCAGGGUAAAAUGGAUUAUCUGAGAGUUUCCGAUCCCAUAUUGGUAUCCGAUGUUCCGAUAAGAUUAUGUUUACUUAUUGUUUAGUCUUUUUCUUUGGACAGGAUUUUUGUCUCAAGUGUAACCCGAACAUAUGAAGGGAUACUAAGCUUUGCUAUUUCCAUUUUUUUAUUUGUAGGAAGUAUGGACACAUAGAAGUAAGACUAAAUUUGUCUAUGUUAAUAUCUAAUUCUGAAAAUGCACAAGGAAAAUUUUCAGUCUUGCAAUCGUAAUUUAUGUCAUCGUAGUUUUUCUUUUCUGCUGUUGUGCCAACUGAUUUGAUGGCAUACUUUCCUCCUCUGCAUCUUGCUGCUGCUGGGCUCUACUGUCUAUUCUUUGAUGAGGGAAAAACUAGACUGAGGAGUGCAUGGCGACCACCUGCUGAUGCCUCACCGGCUACGAACAACCGUUCUAUGAGAUUGGAUGCCGAAAUUACAAUGUGUUACACUCAACCAUGCAGCGAUUAAUGUUUUUUUUUGAACCACCCUUUUUAGACUUUUGAUUUCAGUUAACGUCACAUUGCUUCGCUUUAAUAUGUGUCCGCUUCCAUUGUUUAAUCUACCAGGUGUUCCAACGUACUACAGCCUGAGCGUGUAGGAUAGAAUAUGAUUUUAUUCUACAUUAUUGCUUUACGACUUCUGAACUUCACAAGUUAGUUUGAUAUCAUAUGGAUGUCAACAAUAUUACUUGCAGCAAGUCUGUCGAUUCCUGUUAGAUGUCGGCCUCUACGAUUCGAGGUACAUAAUUCAUACUACUUAGAUAGAUUAUUCUAGCAAUAUGAAAAUUUGAUCUCUUUAAGUCUACAUAAAUUUUGUGGUGCGUACAACGUCCAUAGCAGCUUCUACUAUGGUGUAUUGCUGUCGUCUGAUCAGACGAUGCGCUGGAUAGAGCCUGCAAGCAGGUUUGGAGCAGCAUGAAACGGAAGAGGCAGUAUGGCUCACAAAGUGACACUUACAUGCCAUCACGUGAAAGGUCACGCUGAGGUCCUGUUCAUCUAUAACAUAAAUUGUGUACGAUGUCUAAGUUAAUCAUAUUUAACACCAUGUAAAAUAAGAUAUUAUUUGCACAACUAUUCUAACAAUAAUAGGCCAGUACGAGGAAAUAAAUACGUUUUAUAUUGUCAGCUAGAUCCUUAUCUGGGUAUGAUGAUGUAAGCAAACAUGAGGAAAUAAACAAUUACUUACAAGA
Triticum aestivum (bread wheat) is the source of this 2215-nucleotide long non-coding RNA. RefSeq lists it as uncharacterized. The transcript has 2 exons. NCBI's taxonomy places the organism in Eukaryota, Viridiplantae, Streptophyta, Magnoliopsida, Poales, Poaceae. The record is from RefSeq and is a predicted model, not a curated record.